GAUGAACGCUGGCGGCGUGCUUAACACAUGCAAGUCGAGCGAACAGACGCGGAGCUUGCUCCUCUGACGUUAGCGGCGGACGGGUGAGUAACACGUGGAUAACCUACCUCUAAGACUGGGAUAACCUCGGGAAACCGGAGCUAAUACCGGAUAAUAUAUUGAACCGCAUGGUUGAAUAGUGAAAGACGGUUUUGCUGUCACUUAUAGAUGGAUCCGCGCCGCUUUAGCUAGUUGGUAAGGUAACGGCUUACCAAGCCAACGACGCGUAGCCGACCGGAGAGGGUGAGCGGCCACGCGAGAACGGAGACACGGUCCAGACUCGUACGAGAGGCAGCAGUAGGGAAUCUUGCAGAAGGGGGGAAUGCUGGACGAAGCAAGGCCGCGUGAGGGAUGAAGGUCUUCGGAUCGUAGAACGCUGUUGUGAGGGAAGAAGAAAUGUGUAGGUAACUAGGCACGUCUUGACGGUACCUGAAGAGAAAGCCACGGCUAACUACGUG
RNAcentral lists this ribosomal RNA (497 nucleotides) under uncultured bacterium. Its description in RNAcentral is "partial 16S ribosomal RNA". It matches the Rfam family "Bacterial small subunit ribosomal RNA", at positions 28 to 507 of the family's 1533-position model. The record is from RNAcentral.